AUUGAACGCUGGCGACAUGCCUUACACAUGCAAGUCGAACGGCAGCACGGGUGCUUGCACCUGGUGGCGAGUGGCGCACGGGUGAGUAAUACAUCGGAACAUGUCCUGUAGUGGGGGAUAGCCCGGCGAAAGCCGGAUUAAUACCGCAUACGAUCUAAGGAUGAAAGCGGGGGCCCUUCGGGCCUCGCGCUUUGGGGUUGGCCGAUGGCUGAUUAGCUAGUUGGUGGGGUAAAGGCCUACCAAGGCGACGCUCAGUAGCCGGUCUGAGAGGGCGACCAGACACACUGGGAGUGAGACACGGCCCAGACUCCUACGGGGGGCAGGAGUGGGGAAUUUUGGACAAGGGGCGAACGCCUGAUCCCGCAAUGCCGCGUGUGUGAAGAAGGCCUGCGGGUUGUAAAGCACUUUUGUCCGGAAAGAAAUCCUUGGCCCUAAUACGGUCGGGGGAUGACGGUACCGGAAGAAUAAGCACCGGCUAACUACG
RNAcentral lists this ribosomal RNA (484 nucleotides) under uncultured bacterium. RNAcentral's name for it is "partial 16S ribosomal RNA". It matches the Rfam family "Bacterial small subunit ribosomal RNA", at positions 29 to 505 of the family's 1533-position model. The record is from RNAcentral.